UGCCCUUACUCAUUCAAACCAACAUUCCUUGGAGCGGAACAAAAUGAGUGAGAACUACACCCGUCGUCGUUCUCAUCGGUAACUGAGGUCC
Myotis davidii is the source of this 91-nucleotide non-coding RNA. NCBI's taxonomy places the organism in Eukaryota, Metazoa, Chordata, Mammalia, Chiroptera, Vespertilionidae. The record is from Rfam.